UAGGGAAUCUUCGGCAAUGGACGAAAGUCUGACCGAGCAACGCCGCGUGAGUGAAGAAGGUUUUCGGAUCGUAAAACUCUGUUGUUAGAGAAGAACAAGGACGUUAGUAACUGAACGUCCCCUGACGGUAUCUAACCAGAAAGCCACGGCUAACUACGUGCCAGCAGCCGCGGUAAUACGUAGGUGGCAAGCGUUGUCCGGAUUUAUUGGGCGUAAAGCGAGCGCAGGCGGUUUCUUAAGUCUGAUGUGAAAGCCCCCGGCUCAACCGGGGAGGGUCAUUGGAAACUGGUAGACUUGAUUGCAGAAGAGGAGAGUGAAAUUCCAUGUGUAGCGGUGAAAUGCGUAGAUAUAUGGAGGAGCACCAGUGGCGAAGGCGGCUCUCUGGUCUGUAACUGACGCUGAGGCUCGAAAGCGUGGGGAGCAAACAGG
Molecule: ribosomal RNA, 429 nt
Filed under: Gemmatimonadota bacterium
Lineage: Bacteria; Pseudomonadati; Gemmatimonadota
Description: Gemmatimonadetes bacterium partial 16S ribosomal RNA
Rfam family: Bacterial small subunit ribosomal RNA
Source: RNAcentral